UACGUAGGGUGCGAGCGUUAAUCGGAAUUACUGGGCGUAAAGCGUGCGUAGGCGGUUCGCUGUGUCCGAUGUGAAAGCCCCGGGCUCAACCUGGGAAUUGCAGUGGGUACGGGCAGACUAGAGUGUGGUAGGGGAGACUGGAAUUCCUGGUGUAGCGGUGAAAUGCGCAGAUAUCAGGAGGAACACCGAUGGCGAAGGCAGGUCUCUGGGCCACUACUGACGCUGAGAAGCGAAAGCAUGGGGAGCGAACAGG
Molecule: ribosomal RNA, 253 nt
Filed under: uncultured bacterium
Lineage: Bacteria
Description: partial 16S ribosomal RNA
Rfam family: Bacterial small subunit ribosomal RNA
Source: RNAcentral